CCGGCUUGUACCCGGCCGGAAAACUCAAACCGGAGGGGUUACCCUUGCAACCAGGGAUAACCCAGGUAAACAUUGGAAGGUGGCUUGCUUGGCUUGAAGGGGGUGAGGGCACCCAGUACAGGAUGACCUUGUGGUUGAUUAGGUCGGCGGCGGCGUCACCCCCCCCACAUAGUCCCUCAAUCAAAGGCGGGCGGUAAGGGUGCUCGGGGAGAUUGGGACCACACCCCCUCCCCAACUCCCGGCGGGGGCGAGCUGUUGCGAUUUUUGGGCAAUUGAAGAAAUUCCCACCGCCCACGGGGGAGAGAGGAAGGAGGGUUUAGGAAUCAAAAAAUUUCUGUUGUUAGAGAAGAACAGGGAUGAGAGUACCCUCUCCCUCCCUUGACGGUAUAUAACCAGAAAGCCAUGGUUAACUCCGUGCCAGCAGCCGCGGUAAUACGUAGGUGGCAAGCGUUGUCCGGAUUUAUUGGGCGUAAAGCGAGCGCAGGCGGUUUCUUAAGUCUGAUGUGACAGCCCCCGGCUCAACCGGGGAGGGUCAUUGGAAACUGGGAGACUUGAGUGCAGAAGAGGAGAGUGGAAUUCCAUGUGUAGCGGUGAAAUGCGUAGAUAUAUGGAGGAACACCAGUGGCGAAGGCGGCUCUCUGGUCUGUAACUGACGCUGAGGCUCGAAAGCGUGGGGAGCAAACAGGAUUAGAUACCCUGGUAGUCCACGCCGUAAACGAUGAGUGCUAAGUGUUGGAGGGUUUCCGCCCUUCAGUGCUGCAGCUAACGCAUUAAGCACUCCGCCUGGGGAGUACGACCGCAAGGUUGAAACUCAAAGGAAUUGACGGGGGCCCGCACAAGCGGUGGAGCAUGUGGUUUAAUUCGAAGCAACGCGAAGAACCUUACCAGGUCUUGACAUCCUUUGACCACUCUAGAGAUAGAGCUUCCCCUUCGGGGGCAAAGUGACAGGUGGUGCAUGGUUGUCGUCAGCUCGUGUCGUGAGAUGUUGGGUUAAGUCCCGCAACGAGCGCAACCCUUAUUGUUAGUUGCCAUCAUUCAGUUGGGCACUCUAGCAAGACUGCCGGUGACAAACCGGAGGAAGGUGGGGAUGACGUCAAAUCAUCAUGCCCCUUAUGACCUGGGCUACACACGUGCUACAAUGGGAAGUACAACGAGUCGCGAAGUCGCGAGGCUAAGCUAAUCUCUUAAAGCUUCUCUCAGUUCGGAUUGUAGGCUGCAACUCGCCUACAUGAAGCCGGAAUCGCUAGUAAUCGCGGAUCAGCACGCCGCGGUGAAUACGUUCCCGGGCCUUGUACACACCGCCCGUCACACCACGAGAGUUUGUAACACCCGAAGUCGGUGAGGUAACCUUUUGGAGCCAGCCGCCUAAGGUGGGAUAGAUGAUUGGGGUGAAGUUUCG
Molecule: ribosomal RNA, 1399 nt
Filed under: Enterococcus durans
Lineage: Bacteria; Bacillati; Bacillota; Bacilli; Lactobacillales; Enterococcaceae
Description: bacterial SSU rRNA
Rfam family: Bacterial small subunit ribosomal RNA
Source: RNAcentral